Long non-coding RNA from Vidua macroura (Pin-tailed whydah), 154 nucleotides. RefSeq lists it as uncharacterized. The record is from RefSeq and is a predicted model, not a curated record. The transcript has 3 exons. NCBI's taxonomy places the organism in Eukaryota, Metazoa, Chordata, Aves, Passeriformes, Viduidae.
CAGGUGUGCCCAGGUGCCCCCAGGUGCCCCCAGGUGUGCCCCGGGUGUAUCCCAGGUGUGCCCAGGUGUAUCCCAGGUGUAUCCCAGGUGUGCCCAGGUGUAUCUCAGGUGUAUCUCAGGUGUGCCCAGGUGUGCCCAGGUGUAUCUCAGGUGU